CCGCAGGGCGUUCUGGGAAAGCUCCCAGAAGGGCGGGCGGCUGGCCUCAUGUGGCUCACCCUCUGUCCAUCCUGAAAGGGAACCUGACGCCAGAGGAGCUGCACUGUGACCGCAGAGCAGGCCUCACCGAGGACGCCGAGGGAGGUGGAGGAGGAGGCUGGGCCCACGGGCAUCUUGGAGCUGCUGGGCCUGCACCGGCCCCGCCAGACACCUCAUUGGGUAUAUUCCAGACAAGAAGGUCAACUCCAAGAAAGGAGAUCCAUUAACCAGUGCUAAGCUGCCAGUCGUUAGAGGAGGGAGCUCUAGACGGAGACGAGAAGAGGAUGAAAACUCCCAGUGGGCUGCUCCCUUGCAGGAUCUCCCCAGCACCCGCAACUGACAAGGUCUAACACUGCAGCAUGUGGCACAGGAGACGUGUGCAGGGUCCAGCUUCAGUACCACAAUGCAGGACAAAGAGGAGUGAAAUCUGAACCGAGAGGCAAUAAAUUGAUAAUGAGCACAGUCCCCUAAUUUUCAGAGCAUUAAUAGAGAGGUCUUUUCUAAAGAUGCUGAGUGUUGGAAGUGGGAAAAAGUCCAGGGCCUUAUCUGAUGCCAGAAUCCUUUCAAUAAAAAUAAAAUGUUGAUAGUAA
Long non-coding RNA from Equus caballus (horse), 629 nucleotides. RefSeq lists it as uncharacterized. The record is from RefSeq and is a predicted model, not a curated record. Lineage: Eukaryota; Metazoa; Chordata; Mammalia; Perissodactyla; Equidae.